UAACUACUCCUUAUCAGCUACUCUGAGCCUCAGUCCCAAUCUUUGUUUAUAUAUAUAUAUAUAUUUAUUUAUUUUACAGUAGGAAGAUAUUAAAGUGCAGCACCAAACUCGUCAUUUUCCCCUAGAUUUAAACUAAAGGAUUGAAAGAGAAUUGAAAAGAGAAAAACCUCCUCAUUGUGCAAGUCCAUGCCAGCCCAAGCCUUGCCUGCCUCUGGAUGCACAGCCCACUUCAGGAACUACUGGUUUGAGCACACAAUCUUGAAGGCCUCCACUAAGUCUCCCUCUCCCUCUCCCCGGUCUCCCUCUCCCUCUCCCUCUCUCUCCACAGUCUCCCUCUGAUGCCGAGCCGAGGCUGGACUGUGCUGCCGCCAUCUCGGCUCACUGCAACCUCCCUGCCUGAUUCUCCUGCCUCAGCCUGCCGAGUGCCUGGGAUUGCAGGCACGCGCCGCCACGCCUGACUGGUUUUUGUAUUUUUUGGUGGAGACGGGGUUUCACCGUGUUGGCCGGACUGGUCUCCAGCUCCUGACCGCGAGUGAUCUGCCCGCCUCAGACUCCGGAGGUGCCGGGAUUGCAGACGGAGUCUCGCUCACUCAGUGCUCAAUGUUGCCCAGGCUGGAGUGCAGUGGCGUGAUCUCGGCUGGCUACAAACUCCACCUCCCAGCCGCCUGCCUUGGCCUCCCAAAGUGCAGAGAUUGCAGCCUCUGCCCGGCCGCCACCCCGUCUGGGAAGUGAGGAGCGUCUCUGCCUGGCCGCCCAUCAUCUGGGAUGUGAGGAGCCCCUCUUCCCGGCCGCCCAGUCUGGGAAGUGAGGAGCGCCUCUUCCCGGCUGCCACCCUGUCUGGGAAGUGAGGAGCGUCUCUGCCUGGCCGCCCAUCGUCUGGGAUGUGAGGAGCCCCUCUGCCCCCCCGCCCCGUCUGGGAUGUGAGGAGAGCCUCUGGCCGGCCGCCAUCCCGUCUGGGAAGUGAGGAGCAUCUCUGCCCGGCUGCCCAUCAUCUGGGAUGUGAGGAGCGCCUCUGCCCGGCCGCCAUCCCGUCUGGGAAGUGAGGAGUGUCUCUGCCUGGCCGCCCGUCCUCUGAGAUGUGGGGAGCGCCUCUGCCCCGCCGCCCCAUCUGGGAUGUGAGGACCCCCUCUGCCCCCCACCCCCCGCCCCGUCUGGGAUGUGAGGAGCGCCUCUGCCCGGCCGCGACCCCGUCUGGGAACUGAGGAGUGUCUCUGCCUGACCGCCACCCCGUCUGGGAGGUGAGGAGCGUCUCUGCCCUGCUGCCCCGUCUGAGAAGUGAGGAGCCCCUCCGCCCAGCAGCUGCCCCGUCCGGGAGGGAGGUGGGGGGCAGCCCCUGCCCGGCCAGCCGCCCCGGCGGGGAGGGAGGUGGGCAGCCCCCGCCCGGCAGCCGCCCUGUCCGGGAGGUGGGGGGCGCCUCUGCCCGACCACCCCAUCUGGGAAGUGAGGAGCCCCUCUGCCCAGCCGCCACCCCGUCUGGGAGGUGUACCCAACAGCUCAUUGAGAACAGGCCAUGAUGACGAUGGUGGUUUUGUCGAAUAGAAAAAGGGGGAAAAGUGGGGAAAAGAAAGAGAAAUCAGAUUGUUACAGUGUCUGUGUAGAAAGAAGUAGACAUCCUGACUCCAUUUUGUUCUGUACUAAGAAAAAUUCUUCUGCCUUGGGAUGCUGUUAAUCUAUAAUCUUACCCCCAACCCCGUGCUCUCUGAAACAUGUGGUGUGUCCACUCAGGGUUAAAUGGAUUAAGGGCGGAGCAAGAUGUGCUUUGUUAAACAGAUGCUUGAAGACAGCAUGCUGGUUAAGAGUCAUCACCACUCCCUAAUCUCAAGUACCCAGGGACACAAACACUGCGGAAGGCCGCAGGGUCCUCUGCCUAGGAAAACCAGAGACCCUUGUUCACAUGUUUAUCUGCUGACCUUCCCUCCACUAUUGUCCUAUGACCCUGCCAAAUCCCCCUCUCCGAGAAACACCCAAGAAUGAUCAAUAAAUACUAAAAAAAAAAAAAAAAGUUUCUAUAUUUGACUGGUGCUUUUUUUUAACCAAAAAACCAAUAAUUUCAGAUGUUCAAAGAAAUACAUUUUACACUGAGGCCCAAUACACAAAAUAAAUACAUAUACACAUGCAUAUAUAAUACACAUAAACAUAUACAGAUAUAUAUGUGUGUGUAUGUACAUAUACACAUAUAUAUCUGUAUAAAUAUAUAUCUGUAUGUGUGUAUGUAUGUAUACAGUUGAUCCUUAAACAACAUGGGAGUUAGGGGCACCAACCCUCCACAGCCAAAAAUUCACAUAAAACUUUUGGCUCCCCCAAAAGUACUAAUAGUCUAUUAUUGACCAGAAGCCUUACUAAUAAAGAGUAGGUUAACACGUUUUGUAUGUUAUAUGUAUUACAUACUGCAGCCUUACAAUAAAGUAAGAUAGAGAAAAGAAAAUGUUACUAAGGAAAUCAUGAGGAAGAAAAUAUAAAUUUACUAUUCAUUAAGUGAAAGUGGAUCAUCGUAAAGGACAUCAUCCUCAUUAUCUUUACAUUGAGUAAGCUGAGAAGGAAAAGGAAGAAGUGGGGGUUGGUCUUGUUGUCUCAGGGGCAGCAGAGUUGGAAAAAAAAUCCACAUAUAAGUGGAUCCAUGCAGUUCAAACCCAUGUUGUUUAAGGGUCAACU
RNAcentral lists this long non-coding RNA (2652 nucleotides) under Homo sapiens (human). RNAcentral describes it as "HSALNT0164658". The record is from RNAcentral. Lineage: Eukaryota; Metazoa; Chordata; Mammalia; Primates; Hominidae.